AACGAACGCUGGCGGCAGGCCUAACACAUGCAAGUCGAGCGCGUGUAGCAAUACACGAGCGGCGCACGGGUGAGUAGCGCGCGGGAAUCUGCCCUGUGGUGGGGGACAACCUCGGGAAACUGAGGCUAAUACCGCAUACGUCCUUCGGGAGAAAGACUUCGGUCGCCAUAGGAGGAGCCCGCGUCCGAUUAGCUAGUUGGUGAGGUAAUGGCUCACCAAGGCGACGAUCGGUAGCUGGUCUGAGAGGACGGCCAGCCACACUGGGACUGAGACACGGCCCAGACUCCUACGGGAGGCAGCAGUGGGGAGUAUUGGACAAUGGGGGCAACCCUGAUCCAGCCAUGCCGCGUGAGUGAUGAAGGCCUUCGGGUUGUAAAGCUCUUUUAGCGGGGAAGAUGGUGACGGUACCCGCAGAAUAAGCCCCGGCUAACUUCGUGCCAGCCGCCGCCGUAA
RNAcentral lists this ribosomal RNA (453 nucleotides) under uncultured bacterium. RNAcentral describes it as "partial 16S ribosomal RNA". It matches the Rfam family "Bacterial small subunit ribosomal RNA", at positions 28 to 523 of the family's 1533-position model. The record is from RNAcentral.